Molecule: ribosomal RNA, 3222 nt
Filed under: Triticum aestivum (bread wheat)
Lineage: Eukaryota; Viridiplantae; Streptophyta; Magnoliopsida; Poales; Poaceae
Description: partial small subunit ribosomal RNA
Source: RNAcentral
GAGAGAUCAACUAACAAGUUGUCAUAGUCAUCAACCCACCCAUAAGCAGUAUUCAACACCCCCUUUCUCUCUCUCUCCCUCCCUCUCUCGUGUGUACCUCCCACAACAUCAUGGAUACCACUCGACAAGUUCUCCCAGCUACUUGAGAGAGGAGGUGUUCGAGUGGCUUGACUUAUGAGCUUUAUAAGUCCCAAACGGAGCUCGAGUACAACUUGCGAACGACCUUCGAAACUACCCGGAGUCACCCCUCAAGCAGCUGUUUCAACGGCCCGUUGUCCUCCGUCUACCCGCUCAGUUUCGCACCUACUUCGUUCACUCUGUCGACCAGCAGCUAUAACUUCUGACCCAGCUAGGUUUCGAAGCUUCUUCCUUGUUCCUGCUUGGCCUAUUACCUUCAAAUCUUCUUGGCCUCUUACUUUCAAAUCUUCUUCUUCUAUAGUACUGUUUACUACUUUAUAACGUUCUAAAGUGCUGGGUCUAGCUGCUCCGCACACUCGAUACGUGUUCCAUGCUUGAACAGUUAUUUCUCGGACGACUGGGACAGAGCGGACGACUACCGCAUGGGUCGCUGCUUGGGGCGGCUGACGAAGAAGCCCUCUGGGGACAACCGGAACAACCACAGCUACCAGGUUGUGUUCGUUAACACUUCUUCGACUGUCUGUACUUGCGCUCGGACUUCCACCAUAGGUACCAGCCUCGCCGUCCGGAACCAUUCUGAUGAGAACGGUUCUCCUAAAUACUUCUUGAAGUUCCCGUCAAGUGGACGGUCCAAAAGCAGAGACAACCGGUCUCUUGUGGCCACUCAUGGCGAGAUUACCUAUAUGAGGCAGUUCAUUUCGCCCAUCAGGGCGGUUUUUAUUUCCUUCUUGUAUUCCGUUUCUGCUUCCGCUUCCGCUUCCACUUCUGCUUCUGCUGUAGAGCACCGUAGGUUCGGUAGUAGUGACUAGAGGCUCCUACGGAAGCGUGUCUUUCCAUAGAGUAGUAUUAGCUACCGCAUACCUCAUGCACCCUGACCUUUCAUUAGUUAACACGAAAUGGUCUUUUAAUGGAAUCUUCAUCCCAUAAUUGUUGUUGAACGUCGUACUCACAUCGGGUUAGGACGAGAAAUUUAGGGUCACUUUAGUAGGUCCACUUCCGAGAAUCGUCUCAGUUGAGACUCUUUUAUGAUUUCCCUUACAAACUACACUUAGGAGGAUCGCCUUACCUCAGGUUCCUUUAUAAACUACCUCUCCGUCUACUGUACAACUUUUAGACACCACCACACGGUGACCGUUAUUAAUAACAUAGUCCGAAUAAUAGGACCUUUAGUCGUUUUGACCGUCUCGGGUUCUACGAACCAUUUAGUCUAACGUCCAGUCUUCGCUACUGUUUCUAUAACACGUACUCAAUACUACUGAAUAGCCACGGUGACGUCAGAACGAAGGACAUGAACUCACAAAAAGGGCUUCCAAUAUAGUAGUUCUUUCUAGCGAACUAUGCCGAUACCGCACGACUUCCUAAAUAGGGACCUUCAGAACUUCUUUCGUACACCCGUUGUCCCCUCUCUAUGAAAUUUCUCGACUAGUCAUCCUCCAACUAAGUCGGCCACAACCCGAUGCUUCUACUGGUACGUCACUCAACAUGGCAAGUACUACACCAAGAACUAAAGGACCGUACGAACCGUUCGUUUCUCUUAAAACAAUGUCACCCACGUCUCGAUUUCGGGCACGCUGGUAACCUUCACCGAGACGGUACCAGCGAGUACCUCUCUCGCCAACGGCCCAACUGCGGGCUUGGUAAAAACACAAUGCUUUGCCAAGCCGCUAACAGCGAGGUCACGACACAACUUCCGUCUAGACUGUUGAACCACAGUUCGUUACACGUGGAUACAUCUCACGCUAGUGAGGAUCGAAAACCCCGGAGAUUACCCAAUGGACUAGAAGCCCGGAAGUUUGAAUAGUCUCAUAACCUAGACCUUCCAAGAUUCUCAUGUAGUAUAAAAUAUUAACCUUCAAACAAGGAUGACUCUAUGAACCCUGAAUUUCCCUGAUCUUAGGCAUCGUUCCUGUAUCUCUCUUACCCUCUUAAGCUAGUGGACGUUUGUAACCUAUAUUCCGCUUGGCCACACGUUCCCAACGGAUAAGCAUACCUAGCUUACGGUUUGGAUCACAGAUACGAACCACUACCAGACUGUAAACGAGGACAGCUGAACCUCCUAGUACGGUAUACAAGGAUACUACUCGUACAGGUUUUGAACCUCCUUGACAGGUGGUAACUAUAAUGACUGCUUUCCAGCGCACUACUACACCGUUGUAACGACAAAUCCAGCUUCUUCGAUUCCUACGAACCACACUCUCGAUUAUCUCCACCGUUAUGUGUACCACAAUAUGGAAAGGAAUUACUCGAGGCUUUUAUAUUGGAGCUCAGUGAGUAGUAACUUUCACUGGACACGCCAGACCUACUUACCCUCGGUACCGGACUCGAGGCUUCUAAACUUGACUGUUUUGAGGAGGGUGCCCAAGGUCUCUCAACCCGGAGUGACCUGUCGGAGUGGGUGAACCUAAAACGUUAAGCAUUUUAGCUUCGUUGCCUACAAGAACAGGAACCACUUAACGGGUUCGAUUGGCAAGAGUUGAACGAUAGUACCCUCGCACUUCCCUCACCUUCGUAACAGUCGUCGCAGCCUAAGGUCUCGGAACUCCACCGGAGCAAGUUCACCGAGAAACCGCCCUACACCGACGUGAAGGUUCUUCCUCGGUACGGGUUCGAGGAGUUCGAAGCCGAGCUCAAGUUGCGACGUCUCUGCUACUACCUCGUACCGUAGCCGUUCAAGGGAACAUUGGAGUGCGUUCAACGACAGUCGUAGUCGACAGUUUUGAGAUGAGUUUGCCUGCACGUCCUACACCUCGCACGGUAGUCUCUGGUUCAUCGAUGGGUGGGAUCUUCACGGUUAGAGAGGAACGUUGACUGUUUUAUACUCCCUGGGCAGUUCUACUUCGGCAGCCUAAUAGGUGUUUCAGGCAGUCGCGAGCACGGCAGAUGUAAAAGGAUUUGAAGAACUCCAGGAGGAGAUAGAUGGGUAGAGUCCAAACGGAUCGAACAACGUGGAUGACAUGCAUGGUUCACGUACGGAGGUACGUAACAGUAAUUAGAAAAUGAUAUUCGGAUAUGAAGCCUCACCAUUUGUUUGAGGAUUGAGAGACAAAAGGAGAAUGUUCAGUCAUUACGAUAUACCACGUAGAC